RNAcentral lists this ribosomal RNA (662 nucleotides) under uncultured bacterium. Its description in RNAcentral is "bacterial SSU rRNA". It matches the Rfam family "Bacterial small subunit ribosomal RNA", at positions 56 to 715 of the family's 1533-position model. The record is from RNAcentral.
UGCAGUCGACGGCAGCGGGGGCUUCGGCCCGCCGGCGAGUGGCGAACGGGUGAGUAAUGCAUCGGAACGUACCCAGUCGUGGGGGAUAACUACGCGAAAGCGUAGCUAAUACCGCAUACGCCCUGAGGGGGAAAGCGGGGGACCUUCGGGCCUCGCGCGAUUGGAGCGGCUGAUGUCGGAUUAGCUAGUUGGUGGGGUAAAGGCCUACCAAGGCGACGAUCCGUAGCUGGUCUGAGAGGAUGAUCAGCCACACUGGGACUGAGACACGGCCCAGACUCCUACGGGAGGCAGCAGUGGGGAAUUUUGGACAAUGGGCGCAAGCCUGAUCCAGCCAUGCCGCGUGAGUGAAGAAGGCCUUCGGGUUGUAAAGCUCUUUCAGACGGAAAGAAAUCGGGCGCGUGAAUAGCGUGCCUGGAUGACGGUACUGUCAGAAGAAGCACCGGCUAACUACGUGCCAGCAGCCGCGGUAAUACGUAGGGUGCGAGCGUUAAUCGGAAUUACUGGGCGUAAAGCGUGCGCAGGCGGUUGUGUAAGACAGGUGUGAAAUCCCCGGGCUUAACCUGGGAACUGCGCUUGUGACUGCACGGCUAGAGUACGGCAGAGGGGGGUGGAAUUCCACGUGUAGCAGUGAAAUGCGUAGAUAUGUGGAGGAACACCGAUGG